Molecule: non-coding RNA, 431 nt
Organism: Paramisgurnus dabryanus
Lineage: Eukaryota; Metazoa; Chordata; Actinopteri; Cypriniformes; Cobitidae
Source: RefSeq, a predicted model, not a curated record
AAAACAAACCGGAAGUGACGCGAAACAACACGCGCACCAGUAAACCCACAGAAGAAGAAUCAAGACGACGCGCAAAACUUUUGUUUGUAUAUAUAGACUUCAGACAGAAAUUAGUGCUGCAAACCGUUUGCGCGAUGCAAAGCCGCAAAAGAAAAAAAUGAAGAGAUGUGUAUGUGGAGAGGUGGAUCAACACCACACGCGGACAGCAGGGAUUUAAGAGUUGGAGAAUAGGACAGGCUUCGCAAAGCAUGACUUGGAGAGCGUUUGUCUUUGACCCUGCGAUUCUAUGCAACAGGUGACACGUUCAAGUCCCUCAGGUUCAAGUCCAGGAUGGGGGACCAGCACCAUCCCACAAAUAGUUUUGGAUACCUGUUCUGUUCUGUACCCGGUUAUAAAGGACGAUUUCUUGAAGGUAGGGUUAUUACAAAAUA